GAGGGUAGAGCUCAGCGGCAGAGCACAUGCUUAGCAUGCACAAGGUCCUGGGUUCAAAGCCCAGUACCUCCA
Molecule: transfer RNA, 72 nt
Organism: Camelus ferus (Wild Bactrian camel)
Lineage: Eukaryota; Metazoa; Chordata; Mammalia; Artiodactyla; Camelidae
Rfam family: tRNA
About the family: Transfer RNA (tRNA) molecules are approximately 80 nucleotides in length. Their secondary structure includes four short double-helical elements and three loops (D, anti-codon, and T loops).
Source: Rfam